GAUGAACGCUGGCGGCGUGCCUAAUACAUGCAAGUAGAACGCUGAAGCUUGGUGCUUGCACCGAGCGGAAGAGUUGCGAACGGGUGAGUAACGCGUAGGUAACCUGCCUCUUAGCGGGGGAUAACUAUUGGAAACGAUAGCUAAUACCGCAUAAAAGUCGGCGUUGCAUGAUGUUGACUUGAAAGGUGCAACUGCAUCACUAAGAGAUGGACCUGCGUUGUAUUAGCUAGUUGGUGAGGUAACGGCUCACCAAGGCGACGAUACAUAGCCGACCUGAGAGGGUGAUCGGCCACACUGGGACUGAGACACGGCCCAGACUCCUACGGGAGGCAGCAGUAGGGAAUCUUCGGCAAUGGACGGAAGUCUGACCGAGCAACGCCGCGUGAGUGAAGAAGGUUUUCGGAUCGUAAAGCUCUGUUGUAAGAGAAGAACGAGUGUGAGAGUGGAAAGUUCACACUGUGACGGUAACUUACCAGAAAGGGACGGCUAACUACGUGCCAGCAGCCGCGGUAAUACGUAGGUCCCGAGCGUUAUCCGGAUUUAUUGGGCGUAAAGCGAGCGCAGGCGGUUAGAUAAGUCUGAAGUUAAAAGGCUGUGGCUUAACCAUAGUACGCUUUUGGAAACUGUUUAAUUUGAGUGCAGAAAGGGGAGAGUGGAAUUCCAUGUGUAGCGGUGAAAUACCUUAAAUAUCUGGGAGGGAACACCGGCGGCGAAA
This 715-nucleotide ribosomal RNA is filed under the name uncultured Streptococcus sp. Its description in RNAcentral is "bacterial SSU rRNA". It matches the Rfam family "Bacterial small subunit ribosomal RNA", at positions 28 to 720 of the family's 1533-position model. The record is from RNAcentral. Lineage: Bacteria; Bacillati; Bacillota; Bacilli; Lactobacillales; Streptococcaceae.